CCCCAGCGUCCCUCUUCCAGGAGGGGGAGGAGGGGCAUGGCUGAGUUGGGGGGGGUGGUCUGAGGGUGCAUUUCAGAAGCACAAAGGGGGCCAGAGGGACUGGCGACUUCUCCACAUCCCAUCACAAUAACCAAGAAAAUGGCUUACCCGGAAGACAACAGCUAUUAAGUUUCACUCAGAAGAAGAAAGAAAUGGACAUCUGCAAUGUUCCAGUUUUCCUAGAUGGAGAAUCUAAUGCUAUGAGAGAGGCUCAGCCUCUCUCCUUAGCCACACAUGCUUGGCCCCAGGAGCAGGCACUCCUAACAUGACCUAUUAGUAACUGCGAAAGCGUCCCCUGUCCCUGCUCCAAGGCCCAAAGAAAUCCGCCAACCGUCAUAGCUGCCUCAGUAGCCACAAGAAUGAAAUUGGGAGACCACGUACUGAGCAUGAUCUUACACUUCUAAAAAGAGAACAAAAGCAACAGGAAGAAAUGCAAGUAAAAUUCUGGUAGGCCUCUGGCACUGCUUAUAAGCAGUGCCCAGGA
Molecule: long non-coding RNA, 523 nt
Organism: Lontra canadensis (Northern American river otter)
Lineage: Eukaryota; Metazoa; Chordata; Mammalia; Carnivora; Mustelidae
Exons: 3
Source: RefSeq, a predicted model, not a curated record